RNAcentral lists this ribosomal RNA (310 nucleotides) under uncultured bacterium. Its description in RNAcentral is "bacterial SSU rRNA". It matches the Rfam family "Bacterial small subunit ribosomal RNA", at positions 32 to 324 of the family's 1533-position model. The record is from RNAcentral.
AAUCAACGCUGGCGGCGUGCCUCAGACAUGCAAGUCGAACGAGAAAGUUCCCUUCGGGGAGCGAGUAAAGUGGCGCACGGGUGAGUAACACGUAGGUAAUCUACCUUCGGGUGGGAAUAACCCAGGGAAACUUGGGCUAACACCGCAUAAUGCAGCGGCACCACAUGGUGACAGUUGUUAAAGCGGGGGAUUUAGGACCUCGCGCCUGAAGAGGAGCCUGCGGCGGAUUAGCUUGUUGGAAGGUAACGGCUUACCAAGGCGACGAUCCGUAGCCGGCCUGAGAGGGCGGUCGGCCACACUGACACUGACA